AUAUAUGUACCGAUAAUUAUUUUGUGUUAAAAAUAUGAGGCAAAUUAUACUGCCCGAUUAUACGGACUACAUAUUAAAAACGAUUAUCUUGGAAACAGUCAAUAGAUGUCGAACCACCAGCAAAGUUUUUGAAGAGGUGUACCUAGUUCCUGGUACCAACUGGAAACUGAAACUAAUAAUCUACACUCAAGAAAAUGAAAUAUAGUCACAGAAAACUUUAAUGUUUUAUUUUAUUAAAGAAAAACGUUAAAAAAAUGUGUAAACAGAAA
Molecule: long non-coding RNA, 269 nt
Organism: Cydia pomonella (codling moth)
Lineage: Eukaryota; Metazoa; Arthropoda; Insecta; Lepidoptera; Tortricidae
Exons: 2
Source: RefSeq, a predicted model, not a curated record